ACAAGACCCCUACAAGUUCACUACAGGUAACUACAAGACCAUUACGUCACAACAAGGUCACACAGUCUACUGAUAUCCGUUCUUCUCCUGACGUGUCUCCUCCACUUUUUACCUUUAAGACCUUGGUGUCAGAAAUAUAUGGACUCGUUAUAACGUAUGGUGCUACAGAAGCCUCGCAGAACCUCCGUGUCUUACAAGAACAUACAAGUCAUUGAAGAGAUAAUGGAUGGGUCGACGCAGGUGAAUGUUGCUCCUUGAUGAAGGACGAGCCCUUCAUCAAGGAGCAACUAGGACUCCUACUCCACGAAGCGAUCACCUGCAGUUAGGGCGUGGCGCGCUGCGAGUUGCAAGGUCUCAGUAACUCAUGACGAGAUAGUCCAAAAGAUCAUUCAUUUGAGAGGCCCAUGACCUCUCAAGAUAUAGAUCCAGGGCCAAGAGGACCAAAGAUGUGGCUGGAGAUGGCAAUAGCAUCUUUCACAGCAGUGUUUUGUCGAAAUGGUGAGAGCGUAAGAAUGGCUGAUUAACCAAAGCCGAUGGAUCUUAUUGAUUCAGAUUAUGGAUACUAGGAUAUUAAUGACAGGAUAUUUGGUGUGGAGAAACAGUGCUAAAAGUGGUUGUUAGUGUUGGCGUAGACUGGUGCUAUGGGCCUAGUGAGGUCCGCAAUAACUAGGUGGUCCGCACUCCAGGGUGUGGAUCACGUGUGAACACCUGGUUGAGGGUGGUCCAGGUGUGGUCUAGGGUGACCAGGUGUGGUCUAGGGUGACCAGGUGUGGUCUAGGGUGACCAGGUGUGGUCUAGGGUGACCAGGUGUGGUCUAGAGAGUGGACGAGGUGUUGUCCAGUGUAGACUGGGUGUUGUGGGAGGUAUAGUCAGCAGAGUUAAGUCUUACACUGCUGGUAAAGAGUUGUGACGUGAUGUAGAAUAUAUUUAUAUGUAUAUAGUCUAUUUCGAAAUAAAUAAUUAAAAUAAA
Molecule: long non-coding RNA, 970 nt
Organism: Procambarus clarkii (red swamp crayfish)
Lineage: Eukaryota; Metazoa; Arthropoda; Malacostraca; Decapoda; Cambaridae
Source: RefSeq, a predicted model, not a curated record